Molecule: microRNA precursor, 108 nt
Filed under: Marmota monax (woodchuck)
Lineage: Eukaryota; Metazoa; Chordata; Mammalia; Rodentia; Sciuridae
Source: RNAcentral
AAAUGCAUCCCCAGGGAUCUUGUUAAAGCGCAGAUUCUGAUUCAUUCCCUAGGUGGGGUGGAGGAUUUGAGUGUCUGAAUUUCUAACAAGUUCCCAGGUAAUGAAGUU